Molecule: long non-coding RNA, 872 nt
Organism: Felis catus (domestic cat)
Lineage: Eukaryota; Metazoa; Chordata; Mammalia; Carnivora; Felidae
Exons: 2
Source: RefSeq, a predicted model, not a curated record
CUGACGCUCCCCCGCUCAUGCUCUGUCUCUGUCUCUCUGUCAAAAAUAAAUAAAACGUUAAAAAAAAAAUUUAAACGCAGCUUCUGCACAGCGCCCUGAGUACUCACUGGGCCCUUAGCACCACCAUUUAUGGGUACGGUUUGCCAGGUGCUGGUGGCCACAGGCAACAUGACCUGAGCAGGGUCUUAUGAGAGUGUGUGUGUGAGUGUGACAAUUCGUGUGAAUGUGUAUGAUGUGUGCGUGUGCACGUAUGAGCUUGUGAGUCUGCAUGGAUGUUAGUCUGUGGGAGUGUGCAUGAGUGACUGUUUUAAUGUGAUCUAUGUGAAUGUGAGUGUGCACAUGUGAAUGUGCAAAUGGGUAUUUGUUGAAGGUGUGUGUGACAUGGGCCUGUAUGUGUGCACUUUGUCCCUUAGGGUGUCUGGAGGCAGAUCCUGCACUCUCUUCCCAGCGCGGGUGGUGCUGUGCCCACGGUCACCUUUGCUGUAACACAGCAGCCAGGCUGGACCCCCUGAGUGAUUUUGCUCGGAAGCCUGGACAGCCUGGCUCAAGCCCGUCCUUGCCCCCUGGGAUGCUGGGAGGAUCGUUUUCACUCCUCAAUCCUGUGUUUUCAUCGCAAUGUCAAUCCUGUGUUUUCAGUAAAACAGGUUGCCAGUGUCAUGCAUCCUGACUUCAAGGCUUUGUCACCCAAGAUGAGGCACCCCGCCCUUGCUCACUGGAGCGUGAAGUCAGAGAGCCCUGAGGUCACCAUGCUAUGAGGAAGCUCAUUUGAGCCCCCGGCCUCCAGUCCUGGUCACCUCCAGUCCUGGCCACAACUGUGGGAGAGACCCUGACUCAGAAUCACUGAGUCUUUCCUGAAUUCCUGACCCAUGGAG